AUUGAACGCUGGCGGCAUGCUUUACACAUGCAAGUCGAACGGUAACAGGCCUUCGGGUGCUGACGAGUGGCGAACGGGUGAGUAAUGCAUCGGAACGUGCCCAGAUGUGGGGGAUAACGCAGCGAAAGCUGUGCUAAUACCGCAUGUGAUCUGAGGAUGAAAGCGGGGGACCAGGCAGCAAUGUUUGGCCUCGCGCCUUUGGAGCGGCCGAUGUCAGAUUAGGUAGUUGGUGGGGUAAAGGCCUACCAAGCCGACGAUCUGUAGCUGGUCUGAGAGGACGAUCAGCCACACUGGGACUGAGACACGGCCCAGACUCCUACGGGAGGCAGCAGUGGGGAAUUUUGGACAAUGGGCGCAAGCCUGAUCCAGCAAUGCCGCGUGCGGGAAGAAGGCCUUCGGGUUGUAAACCGCUUUUGUACGGAACGAAAAGGCUCUGGCUAAUACCUGGGGCUGAUGACGGUACCGUAAGAAUAAGCACCGGCUAACUACGUG
RNAcentral lists this ribosomal RNA (492 nucleotides) under uncultured bacterium. RNAcentral's name for it is "partial 16S ribosomal RNA". It matches the Rfam family "Bacterial small subunit ribosomal RNA", at positions 30 to 507 of the family's 1533-position model. The record is from RNAcentral.